This 401-nucleotide ribosomal RNA is filed under the name uncultured bacterium. RNAcentral describes it as "bacterial SSU rRNA". It matches the Rfam family "Bacterial small subunit ribosomal RNA", at positions 355 to 773 of the family's 1533-position model. The record is from RNAcentral.
UGGGGAAUAUUGCACAAUGGGCGCAAGCCUGACCCAGCAACGCCGCGUGGGUGACGAAGGCCUUCGGGUUGUAAAGCCCUUUUCUGAGGGAAGAUUGUGACGGUACCUCAGGAAUAAGUACCGGCUAACUACGUGCCAGCAGCCGCGGUAAUACGUAGGGUGCAAGCGUUGCCCGGAUUUAUUGGGCGUAAAGGGCGCGCAGGCGGUUCGGCACGUCCGUUGUGAAAUCGCCCGGCUCAACUGGGCGGGGUCAGCGGAUACGGUCGAACUUGAGCAAGCUAGGGGGCAAUGGAAUUCCCGGUGUAGUGGUGGAAUGCGUAGAUAUCGGGAGGAACACCAGUGGCGAAGGCGGUUGCCUGGAGCUUUGCUGACGCUGAGGCGCGAAAGCGUGGGGAGCGAUC